GUGGGUAUAGCUUAGUGGCAGAGCACAUGCUUAGCAUGCACGAGGUCCUAGGUUCAAUUUCCAGUACCUCCA
Molecule: transfer RNA, 72 nt
Filed under: Camelus dromedarius (Arabian camel)
Lineage: Eukaryota; Metazoa; Chordata; Mammalia; Artiodactyla; Camelidae
Also listed under: 1 other name
Rfam family: tRNA
About the family: Transfer RNA (tRNA) molecules are approximately 80 nucleotides in length. Their secondary structure includes four short double-helical elements and three loops (D, anti-codon, and T loops). Further hydrogen bonds mediate the characteristic L-shaped molecular structure. tRNAs have two regions of fundamental functional importance: the anti-codon, which is responsible for specific mRNA codon recognition, and the 3' end, to which the tRNAs corresponding amino acid is attached (by aminoacyl-tRNA synthetases). tRNAs cope with the degeneracy of the genetic code in two manners: having more than one tRNA (with a specific anti-codon) for a particular amino acid; and 'wobble' base-pairing, i.e. permitting non-standard base-pairing at the 3rd anti-codon position.
Source: Rfam by way of RNAcentral